This 383-nucleotide ribosomal RNA is filed under the name uncultured Prevotella sp. RNAcentral's name for it is "bacterial SSU rRNA". It matches the Rfam family "Bacterial small subunit ribosomal RNA", at positions 355 to 735 of the family's 1533-position model. The record is from RNAcentral. Lineage: Bacteria; Pseudomonadati; Bacteroidota; Bacteroidia; Bacteroidales; Prevotellaceae.
UGAGGAAUAUUGGUCAAUGGGCGAGAGCCUGAACCAGCCAAGUAGCGUGCAGGACGACGGCCCUAUGGGUUGUAAACUGCUUUUAUACGGGAAUAAAGUGACGCCUGCGGGCGUUAUUGCAUGUACCGUACGAAUAAGGACCGGCUAAUUCCGUGCCAGCAGCCGCGGUAAUACGGAAGGUCCGGGCGUUAUCCGGAUUUAUUGGGUUUAAAGGGUGCGUAGGCUGUUUGUCAAGUCAGAGGUGAAAGGCCGCAGCUCAACUGUGGAAUUGCCUUUGAUACUGGCAGGCUUGAAUACUGUUGCCGUGGGAGGAAUGAGUAGUGUAGCGGUGAAAUGCAUAGAUAUUACUCAGAACACCGAUUGCGAAGGCAUCUCACGAAGCA